This 468-nucleotide ribosomal RNA is filed under the name uncultured bacterium. RNAcentral's name for it is "partial 16S ribosomal RNA". It matches the Rfam family "Bacterial small subunit ribosomal RNA", at positions 28 to 507 of the family's 1533-position model. The record is from RNAcentral.
GACGAACGCUGGCGGCGUGCUUAACACAUGCAAGUCGAACGGAAAGGCCCUGCUUUUGUGGGGUGCUCGAGUGGCGAACGGGUGAGUAACCCGUGAGUAACCUGCCCUUGACUUUGGGAUAACUUCAGGAAACUGGGGCUAAUACCGGAUAGGAGCUCCUGCUGCAUGGUGGGGGUUGGAAAGUUUCGGCGGAUGGGGAUGGACUCGCGGCUUAUCAGCUUGUGGGUGGGGUAGUGGCUUACCAAGGCUUUGACGGGUAGCCGGCCUGAGAGGGUGACCGGCCACAUUGGGACUGAGAUACGGCCCAGACGGCUACGGGAGGCAGCAGUGGGGAAUAUGGCACAAUGGGCGGAAGCCUGAUGCAGCAACGCCGCGUGCGGGAUGACGGCCUUCGGGUUGUAAACCGCUUUCGCCUGUGACGAAGCGUGAGUGACGGUAAUGGGUAAAGAAGCACCGGCUAACUACGUG